This 253-nucleotide ribosomal RNA is filed under the name uncultured prokaryote. RNAcentral describes it as "partial 16S ribosomal RNA". It matches the Rfam family "Bacterial small subunit ribosomal RNA", at positions 524 to 776 of the family's 1533-position model. The record is from RNAcentral.
UACAGAGGGGGCAAGCGUUGUUCGGAAUUACUGGGCGUAAAGGGCGCGUAGGCGGCCUGCUAAGUCGAACGUGAAAUCCCCGGGCUCAACCCGGGAACUGCGUCCGAUACUGGUUGGCUUGAAUCCGGGAGAGGGAUGCGGAAUUCCAGGUGUAGCGGUGAAAUGCGUAGAUAUCGAGAGGAACACCAGAGGCGAAGGCGAGUCACUGGACAGAACCUGACACUGAGGCACGAAAGCUAGGGGAGCAAACGGG